GGGUCGAUGGCGUAGUUGGUUAUCGCAUCUGUCUAACAUCAAUCGGAAUGAUUUGUACACAGGUCCUCAGUUCGAACCUGGGUCGACUCA
Guyanagaster necrorhizus is the source of this 90-nucleotide non-coding RNA. NCBI's taxonomy places the organism in Eukaryota, Fungi, Basidiomycota, Agaricomycetes, Agaricales, Physalacriaceae. The record is from the annotation of a RefSeq genome assembly.